This 1341-nucleotide long non-coding RNA is filed under the name Homo sapiens (human). RNAcentral's name for it is "HSALNT0273989". The record is from RNAcentral. Lineage: Eukaryota; Metazoa; Chordata; Mammalia; Primates; Hominidae.
AUUAGGAUGGGUUUGGAAGGCAUGACAAGGAACAGUGAAUACCACGUGGAAAUAUAUUAGGGUUCUUUAAUAACAAGAACAGAAACUGUCUGGCUUGAAUGGAAAAAGUAGUUUAUUGUAAAGAUACAGGGUUGCUCUUGGACUUAAAAGAAAAGCUAAAAAACUGGGCCAGGAAGAAGGACAAAAACCAAGCUAACUCCAGGAAUCUAUGUAGCAGGCACUAGCAAGGUUGCAUUUUCAGGCCUCCGUUGAGAUAAGUCAGCUUCAUUUAUUUAUUGCCUUUGUCAUUCUUCUCAGGAUUCAUAUUCCGAGGACAAAGUUUCUGAUUGGUUUGGCUUUGGUUGUAUGGUUAGCCCAGAGGUAGGGGAGAGGAGCACAUCAGGCUGUAGCACACAGUGGGACAAGAGCAGUUCUUCUAUAGCAAAAUCAUGGGGCUGUUAACAGGAGGUGGAAUGGCUGUGUAGUGGCUGGAAGAAAACAGCAAAGGCUGUGACCAGAGUCUGCUCUGCUAAGGUGCAAAGGAGCUUGAACUAUGUUGGAGUAGGAUCAUUCUCCUGAAUGUGGCCAAGAACAACCAUCAAACCAAAAUCAAACCCCCUUGUUAGAGACUGAAAGUGUGGUGAAAUGGAAUACAAGAUAGUAACAUGACUCCUCUUGAAGGAUUGGAUAAGCUAGUCUAGGUUUGAAAUCUGAGGAUAUUUGCGUUGUCACCAAGUGAGUGAUGAUAAGACCGAAACUCAGAGGCAACUUCCUAUCACCAUCAAAUAGUAAAAUCCAAUGGUAGGUGUUACGGCUAAAUCCUGAAAUGAGGGUUUGGGGAUAAGCAGUCUGUGUGUGUGUGUUUAUGUUCCAAAGUCAAAUGUAGAUGCUUUGUUUUUUUAACUAGGUAUUUGCCUUGUGUUACAUGCAUUCCCUCUUUUUUCUAGUAUCAUGGUUAGGACUAUAGAAGCAAUCCCCAACAUUCCAAAGGACCCAUGUUCCCAGAGUUGAAAUCUAGGUUGAUGCUGGAUGUAAAGAGCCAUUUUCCUGUAGAACUGGUAGUAGCAGUUUUGUGGCUAGUCUGGGAGCCAACUUAAUUUAUAGUGUACCUUAGCUAUGACACUAGUCCAAGUAGGUGAGAUUAUUUUGAUCCCUUUCCAUCUCUGUUUCUCACCCCCUCACUCACCCCCUGGUACCCUUCUGAGUGCCAAGUCGCUUUGCUUUCCUCUGCUUCUCACUAGAAUGCUCUAUAUUCGAAAUUGCCUACCUUCCCUCUCCCUCAAAAAUCUUAAUUCCAUACAACUGAUUUAACACUCUAUAAAGAGGAAAGUAUUUGCAUUGAAUUAAUUUAUGUUAAGAUAU